GUGGGGAAUAUUGCACAAUGGAGGAAACUCUGAUGCAGCGACGCCGCGUGAGUGAAGAAGGUCUUCGGAUCGUAAAACUCUGUCCUUGGUGAAGAUAAUGACGGUAGCCAAGGAGGAAGCCCCGGCUAACUACGUGCCAGCAGCCGCGGUAAUACGUAGGGGGCGAGCGUUGUCCGGAUUUACUGGGCGUAAAGGGUGAGUAGGCGGUAAUAUGUGUCAGAUGUAAAAGGCUAAGGCUUAACCAUAGUUAGCAUUUGAAACUGUAUUACUUGAGUGCAGGAGAGGUAAGUGGAAUUCCUAGUGUAGCGGUGAAAUGCGUAGAUAUUAGGAGGAACACCAGUGGCGAAGGCGACUUACUGGACUGUAACUGACGCUGAGUCACGAAAGCGUGGGUAGCAAACAGG
This 404-nucleotide ribosomal RNA is filed under the name bacterium. Its description in RNAcentral is "bacterial SSU rRNA". It matches the Rfam family "Bacterial small subunit ribosomal RNA", at positions 354 to 776 of the family's 1533-position model. The record is from RNAcentral.